CAGCAGUCGCCGCGGGAAUACGUAGGGUGCAAGCGUUAAUCGGAAUUACUGGGCGUAAAGCGUGCGCAGGCGGUUAUAUAAGACAGAUGUGAAAUCCCCGGGCUCAACCUGGGAACUGCAUUUGUGACUGUAUAGCUAGAGUACGGCAGAGGGGGAUGGAAUUCCGCGUGUAGCAGUGAAAUGCGUAGAUAUGCGGAGGAACACCGAUGGCGAAGGCAAUCCCCUGGGCCUGUACUGACGCUCAUGCACGAAAGCGUGGGGAGCAAACAGGAUUAGAUACCCGAGUAGUCCCUGUCUCUUAUAU
Molecule: ribosomal RNA, 304 nt
Filed under: uncultured bacterium
Lineage: Bacteria
Description: partial 16S ribosomal RNA
Rfam family: Bacterial small subunit ribosomal RNA
Source: RNAcentral